This 787-nucleotide ribosomal RNA is filed under the name uncultured bacterium. Its description in RNAcentral is "bacterial SSU rRNA". It matches the Rfam family "Bacterial small subunit ribosomal RNA", at positions 8 to 796 of the family's 1533-position model. The record is from RNAcentral.
AGAGUUUGAUCAUGGCUCAGGAUGAACGCUAGCGGCAGGCUUAACACAUGCAAGUCGAGGGGUAUAGGUUUUCGGACCUAGAGACCGGCGCACGGGUGCGUAACGCGUAUGCAAUCUACCUUUUACAGAGGGAUAGCCCAGAGAAAUUUGGAUUAAUACCUCAUAGUAUAUUGAGUUGGCAUCAACACAAUAUUAAAGUCACAACGGUAAAAGAUGAGCAUGCGUCCCAUUAGCUAGUUGGUAAGGUAACGGCUUACCAAGGCAACGAUGGGUAGGGGUCCUGAGAGGGAGAUCCCCCACACUGGUACUGAGACACGGACCAGACUCCUACGGGAGGCAGCAGUGAGGAAUAUUGGUCAAUGGGCGCAAGCCUGAACCAGCCAUGCCGCGUGCAGGAUGAAGCAUCUAUGGUGUGUAAACUGCUUUUGUACGAGAAGAAACACUCCUACGUGUAGGAGCUUGACGGUAUCGUAAGAAUAAGGACCGGCUAACUCCGUGCCAGCAGCCGCGGUAAUACGGAGGGUCCAAGCGUUAUCCGGAAUCAUUGGGUUUAAAGGGUCCGUAGGCGGUUUUGUAAGUCAGUGGUGAAAGCCCAUCGCUCAACGGUGGAACGGCCAUUGAUACUGCAAGACUUGAAUUAUUGGGAAGUAACUAGAAUAUGUAGUGUAGCGGUGAAAUGCUUAGAGAUUACAUGGAAUACCAAUUGCGAAGGCAGGUUACUACCAAUAUAUUGACGCUGAUGGACGAAAGCGUGGGGAGCGAACAGGAUUAGAUACCCUAGUAGUCC